Molecule: transfer RNA, 85 nt
Filed under: Methanosphaera cuniculi
Lineage: Archaea; Methanobacteriati; Methanobacteriota; Methanobacteria; Methanobacteriales; Methanobacteriaceae
Description: tRNA-Ser
Rfam family: tRNA
About the family: Transfer RNA (tRNA) molecules are approximately 80 nucleotides in length. Their secondary structure includes four short double-helical elements and three loops (D, anti-codon, and T loops).
Source: RNAcentral
GUCGAGGUGGCCCAGCCUGGUACGGCGGUGGCCUGCUAAGCCACUGGAGAGAUCUCCACCCGGGUUCGAAUCCCGGCCUCGGCGC